GGCGGCAGGCCUAAUACAUGCAAGUCGAGCGCCCGGGCAACCGGGAGCGGCGGACGGGUGAGUAACACGUGGGAACAUGCCCUUUGGUACGGAACAACUCAGGGAAACUUGAGCUAAUACCGUAUGAGCCGGCAACGGGAAAGAUUUAUCGCCAAAGGAUUGGCCCGCGUCCGAUUAGCUAGUUGGUGAGGUAACGGCCCACCAAGGCACCGAUCGGUAGCUGGUUUGAGAGAACGACCAGCCACACUGGGACUGAGACACGGCCCAGACUCCUACGGGAGGCAGCAGUAGGGAAUCUUGGACAAUGGGGGAAACCCUGAUCCAGCCAUGCCGCGUGAGUGAUGAAGGCCUUCGGGUUGUAAAACUCUUUCGACGGGGACGAUAAUGACGGUACCCGUAGAAGAAGCUCCGGCUAACUUCGUGCCAGCAGCCGCGGUAAUACGAAGGGGGCUAGCGUUGUUCGGAAUUACUGGGCGUAAAGCGCGCGCAGGCGGNCUUUCAAGUCAGGGGUGAAAGCCCGGAGCUCAACUCCGGAACUGCCUUUGAAACUGUCAGGCUAGA
This 561-nucleotide ribosomal RNA is filed under the name uncultured Alphaproteobacteria bacterium. RNAcentral's name for it is "bacterial SSU rRNA". It matches the Rfam family "Bacterial small subunit ribosomal RNA", at positions 38 to 645 of the family's 1533-position model. The record is from RNAcentral. Lineage: Bacteria; Pseudomonadati; Pseudomonadota; Alphaproteobacteria.